ACAGCCGCCCUCGGAAAGUGCAAAAGCAGCCACGAGACAGAUCCAGGCUUUGUUGCUAAUUUCCCAGGGUGAAAAUUGACAAGCCUGGGAGUGCAGUCAGCACAACCCAUUGCAUAUGCUACUGACAAACGCUGGGGACAUCCCCUCCCACCCAUGCCUAUCACACAGAGAAUGUGACCUCUGCAGGACUGGACUCUGGAAGGACCCUACCUCCAGGACUCGCCCACAAGAAGAACUGCAAAAGAGCUCCAAAGGAGAAGGAAAAAAAAUCAUCAGAAAAACCCCCGUGCAGAUGAAGAGGCUUGAUGCUUAAUGCGCACAGAUGUGAUCGCCAGUGGUCGCCGACAAUGAAAUAUACAAGUGCACACAAAGUGAUCCGGUGAACAAGAGGUGGAAUUUAAUCAUCUUCUGCUGACACUUUGUGAAAAACACCAUUAACCCUCAGCAAACCCCUGUUUUCCUGGCUCCCUGUAACCCCUAAAGUCUCAGCCCCUCCUCCCAAGGAGAAAAAGUGAAAGAAGAAUUUGUGGUUUUGUUUACUCAGCCAAGCUAAAGGUUGGAUCCAGCCAGAUGAAAACUUUAAGGAACAAUGAAGGAGAGAGGUGCCGCUCUGAACCGGGACUAAGGUGCAGAACUGGAGUGAGCUGUUCUCCAACUCCUGAAUUUGAACCCUGGACUGAAUAAAAGCUUUAAGACCACAAGACAAACACAAAGUUUAUAGCCAACUCGUUUUUCAAGUGUAGUGUCUCUGCUACAGUCCUUGCUACUCUCUCCUUGGGAAGGUGCCUUCCAAGGUUCACCGUGGCUCCUCUGUACAUGUCCCUAUUCAGGAGGGCCUGGACUCUUCUUCAAUUUUCUGGUAUGGAAGACAUAUGUGGUAUCAAUUAUUCCAGGACCCAGAUCACUUCUUUCCUUUUAAAAUGCCACCAAGCAUCCUAAGAAAGUGUGAUGGUGUUUGGUGUUUGGAGGGUUUUAAAAUUGGGCACUUUGAAGCUAGCAGGCAGCACUGGCUCUACACACUGUUUUAAGUAGCUUUUCCAUGCUCAGGUGCUACUCCCCCACUAACUCCCCAAACUGCUUCCACAUUCUCCCGCUCCUGCCCUCUGCAUGCUUUACCAAUGUGCACAUAGCUGUUCUUGGGCAUAGAUGGUGCAUGCUAGGGGGAUUGUUUGAAAGGGUAAUUAAUAGGCAUAAGAUCCUGUCCUCAUCUGAUAUAUUUUAUAACUUAUUUUUUAUCAAAAAUGAAUUUCAAAUAUUCUGUUGCCAUCUCAGACAUACCAGCAUACAGCCUAAAAAUAGGUACAGUCACCAGAGCUAUGGUGACGGAUCAAACAAAUCUAUCUGCCAUCAAACUCAUGUUCUUGACUUGGGAAUCUCUCUGUGAAACACAGGGCAUUUCUGAGGAAAGCAAAGCCUGGUGACUGAAUGAAACCUUAGAUUUAUCCCCCUAAGGACAGAAUAGUUUUACAGUCAUGCUUUAAUUUUCCUUUGUAUUUUAUACCUUUGACAUUUCGUGGACAAAUGUAAGGAGCAGCAAGGCUGUUGACAGGCCUGGGGAUGACGAAGGAAGGACUAAGCGUUUUCUUCAUUCAAACAAGGCAGAAAGUGAAACCACGUAGUCUAAUGGUCAGUGUCUCAAUAAGAUGAGAAUAAACAGAAAGAGGCUCCGUGUCUUAUUUAUAUUUUAUCAGAGGUUAUUGCUGUAGAACCGUGAAGCACAAUAAAUAGCAUUCUGUUAGCAGCCAUUUGAAAGAAAAUGUUCAUCACUUUCAAAUAAAAUUACUUCCCUC
This 1790-nucleotide long non-coding RNA is filed under the name Mus musculus (house mouse). Its description in RNAcentral is "RIKEN cDNA A830011K09 gene". The record is from RNAcentral. Lineage: Eukaryota; Metazoa; Chordata; Mammalia; Rodentia; Muridae.